RNAcentral lists this ribosomal RNA (517 nucleotides) under uncultured Streptomyces sp. RNAcentral describes it as "bacterial SSU rRNA". It matches the Rfam family "Bacterial small subunit ribosomal RNA", at positions 144 to 674 of the family's 1533-position model. The record is from RNAcentral. Lineage: Bacteria; Bacillati; Actinomycetota; Actinomycetes; Kitasatosporales; Streptomycetaceae.
CAAGCCCUGGAAACGGGGUCUAAUACCGGAUAUGACGCAUGGCCGCAUGGUCUGUGCGUGGAAAGCUCCGGCGGUGCAGGAUGAGCCCGCGGCCUAUCAGCUAGUUGGUGGGGUGAAGGCCUACCAAGGCGACGACGGGUAGCCGGCCUGAGAGGGCGACCGGCCGCACUGGGACUGAGACACGGCCCAGACUCCUACGGGAGGCAGCAGUGGGGAAUAUUGCACAAUGGGCGAAAGCCUGAUGCAGCGACGCCGCGUGAGGGAUGAAUGCCUUCGGGUUGUAAACCUCUUUCAGCAGGGAAGAAGCGCAAGUGACGUUACCUGCAGAAGAAGCACCGGCUAACUACGUGCCAGCAGCCGCGGUAAUACGUAGGGUGCAAGCGUUGUCCGGAAUUAUCGGGCGUAAAGAGCUCGUAGGCGGCGUGUCACGUCGGAUGUGAAAGCCCGGGGCUUAACCCCGGGUCUGCAUUCGAUACGGGCAGGCUAGAGUUCGGUAGGGGAGAUCGGAAUUCCUGGU